Passer domesticus (house sparrow) is the source of this 436-nucleotide long non-coding RNA. RefSeq lists it as uncharacterized. The transcript is spliced from 2 exons. The record is from RefSeq and is a predicted model, not a curated record. NCBI's taxonomy places the organism in Eukaryota, Metazoa, Chordata, Aves, Passeriformes, Passeridae.
CAGACACAAAUGAGAGUCUGGGGAUCUCCUGGAAGAGACAAGGGCAAUCACAGCCCCAUUCUUGGCCAGACACACUGGGAAAACACCUUCCCAACUCUGUGUGGUGAAGGAAGACUCAGGAGUGCUGCAGCCAAAAAUCGCUGGGAGAGUGGGGAGAGAGUUCUGGCCAUGCUGAGCAGUGACAUUCACACAGGUCUACAGUGCUCUGCCUCAAGAAAGACACAGGACAAGUCUGUUCUCUGCCUCUCUGAUGUGCCACAUGUGAAGAAAAGCUUUUCCACCUUAGGAUGAGAGCAGCUGGGCAUGUCCUUGGGCACAGCUGGUGAUGUUUGCCUGAAGAGUUAGGGGGGGAGACACCCCAGGAAGACAGGAUGGGUGGAGCACGGGAACCGAGGAGAGAUUCUCCAUAAAAAUACAUCAAACUAUUAAUGUUUAA